UACGAAGGGUGCAAGCGUUACUCGGAAUUACUGGGCGUAAAGCGUGCGUAGGUGGUGAGUUAAGUCUGUCGUGAAAGCCCCGGGCUCAACCUGGGAAUGGCGAUGGAUACUGGCUCGCUAGAGUGCGGUAGAGGAGAGUGGAAUUCCCGGUGUAGCAGUGAAAUGCGUAGAGAUCGGGAGGAACAUCAGUUGCGAAGGCGGCUCUCUGGACCAGCACUGACGACUGAGGCACGGAAAGCGUGGGGAGCAAACAGG
RNAcentral lists this ribosomal RNA (255 nucleotides) under uncultured bacterium. RNAcentral's name for it is "partial 16S ribosomal RNA". It matches the Rfam family "Bacterial small subunit ribosomal RNA", at positions 524 to 776 of the family's 1533-position model. The record is from RNAcentral.